This is a long non-coding RNA of Phyllostomus discolor (pale spear-nosed bat), 445 nucleotides long. RefSeq lists it as uncharacterized. The transcript has 2 exons. NCBI's taxonomy places the organism in Eukaryota, Metazoa, Chordata, Mammalia, Chiroptera, Phyllostomidae. The record is from RefSeq and is a predicted model, not a curated record.
AACCUUCACCAGGACUUCAGAUUCCCUGUCAUGUUGCUGUCUUGGAGGAUUUCCUAUUGUGCAGUAUGUACACUUCCAACCAUUCCUGAGAUUCUCCACAGGUGGGAGGUGACAGCCCUCAUGAAAGACUCUGGAACAAGUACCACAGUGAAGGAGCGUUCCUCCAUCCUGACAGAUCACACAUUUGGCUGAGUUUUUCACCUAGAAGAUAAAACAAUGACCACAUCCCCAUGAGCUUCUGACAACCAGCACUGUGGGAAUCUAGGACUAAUGGCCUUUGUGCAAACCUUCAGGGACUCCUCUGUGUUUCACUGAGCUAGCUGUGAAAGGAGAGCACAAAAUGGGGGUUUCAGAAGAAGGAUUCUUGUUCUGCUGUGAAGUUCAAGAGGAGCCUUUGUGACCAGACUGGAGAAGUUCUUUUCCUGUUAAACCAGAGAUCCUAACA